Molecule: unclassified non-coding RNA, 396 nt
Filed under: soil metagenome
Description: partial contains 5.8S ribosomal RNA, internal transcribed spacer 2, and large subunit ribosomal RNA
Rfam family: 5.8S ribosomal RNA (bases 1-122)
Source: RNAcentral
GAUGAAGAACGCAGCGAAAUGCGAUACUUGGUGUGAAUUGCAGAAUCCCGUGAACCAUCGAGUCUUUGAACGCAAGUUGCGCCCGAAGCCAUUAGGCCGAGGGCACGCCUGCCUGGGUGUCACACACCGUUACCCUCGCGCCAACGUCCAUCGUUGGCCGCGGCGCGGGGCGUGCGCUGACCUCCCGCGAGCGGGGUCUCGUGGUUGGUUGAAAAUCGAGUUCGCGGUCGAGGGUGCCGUGAUGAAAUGGUGGAUGGGCGACGCCCGAGGCCAAUCACGCGCGACUCUGUCCGGCUCGGANNCCUGGACCCCUUCGGCGUCUCCGGACGCUCUUUGGCGAGACCUCAGGUCAGGCGGGGCUACCCGCUGAGUUUAAGCAUAUCAAUAAGCGGAGGA